This 114-nucleotide non-coding RNA is filed under the name uncultured Prevotella sp. Lineage: Bacteria; Pseudomonadati; Bacteroidota; Bacteroidia; Bacteroidales; Prevotellaceae. The record is from RNAcentral.
GGUGGCAGACCCACCGCAUUCGGCAUGCAGGUGCUGAUUGCAAACCACUUUGUGCUGCUCUGAUGGAAACAGAUGGGUAGUGGAACGACAUUUGAAAGCCUUCCUUUAGGUUGG